This 468-nucleotide ribosomal RNA is filed under the name uncultured bacterium. RNAcentral's name for it is "partial 16S ribosomal RNA". It matches the Rfam family "Bacterial small subunit ribosomal RNA", at positions 28 to 507 of the family's 1533-position model. The record is from RNAcentral.
GACGAACGCUGGCGGCGUGCUUAACACAUGCAAGUCGAACGGAGAGGCCCUGCUUUUGUGGGGUGCUCGAGUGGCGAACGGGUGAGUAACACGUGAGUAACCUGCCCUUGACUUUGGGAUAACUUCAGGAAACUGGGGUUAAUACCGGAUAGGAGCUCCUGUUGCAUGGUGGGGGUUGGAAAGUUUCGGCGGUUGGGGAUGGACUCGCGGCUUAUCAGCUUGUUGGUGGGGUAGUGGCUUACCAAGGCUUUGACGGGUAGCCGGCCUGAGAGGGUGACCGGCCACAUUGGGACUGAGGUACGGCCCAGACUCCAACGGGAGGCAGCAGUGGGGAAUAUUGCACAGUGGGCGGAAGCCUGAUGCAGCAACGCCGCGUGCGGGAUGACGGCCUUCGGGUUGUAAACCGCUUUCGCCUGUGACGAAGCGUGAGUGACGGUAAUGGGUAAAGAAGCACCGGCUAACUACGUG